AAAAAAAAUGAACGAAAAACAAAUAUGUAACACAUAAACAAACGACAACCACUGAAUUACAGACUCCUGACUUGGGACAGGCACAUACAUAAAUAAUGUGGCGGGGUUAAACAUGUUAGCGGGAUCCCAACCCUCCCCCUAACCUGGGACAGUGGUAUUACAGUACAACAUAAGAACGAACUAUAAAAAUCAGUUGAAAAAGGCUUAACUCAUCAGAUGGACA
RNAcentral lists this long non-coding RNA (223 nucleotides) under Mytilus galloprovincialis (Mediterranean mussel). Lineage: Eukaryota; Metazoa; Mollusca; Bivalvia; Mytilida; Mytilidae. The record is from RNAcentral.